RNAcentral lists this transfer RNA (86 nucleotides) under Dreissena polymorpha. RNAcentral describes it as "tRNA-Ser". It matches the Rfam family "tRNA". Rfam says of the family: Transfer RNA (tRNA) molecules are approximately 80 nucleotides in length. Their secondary structure includes four short double-helical elements and three loops (D, anti-codon, and T loops). Lineage: Eukaryota; Metazoa; Mollusca; Bivalvia; Myida; Dreissenidae. The record is from RNAcentral.
GUUGCCGUGGCCAAGUGGUUAAGGCGAUAGUCAGACUUGAAAUCUUUUGGGGUUUUCCCGCGCACGUUCGAAUCCUGCUGACAGCG